UACGUAGGGCGCAAGCGUUGUCCGGAAUUAUUGGGCGUAAAGAGCUCGUAGGCGGCUUGUCACGUCGAUUGUGAAAGCCCGAGGCUUAACCUCGGGUCUGCAGUCGAUACGGGCUAGCUAGAGUGUGGUAGGGGAGAUCGGAAUUCCUGGUGUAGCGGUGAAAUGCGCAGAUAUCAGGAGGAACACCGGUGGCGAAGGCGGCUCUCUGGGACGGUACUGACGCUGAGACGCGAAAGCGUGGGGAGCGAACAGG
RNAcentral lists this ribosomal RNA (253 nucleotides) under uncultured bacterium. RNAcentral's name for it is "partial 16S ribosomal RNA". It matches the Rfam family "Bacterial small subunit ribosomal RNA", at positions 524 to 776 of the family's 1533-position model. The record is from RNAcentral.